GACGAACGCUGGCGGCGUGCUUAACACAUGCAAGUCGAACGGAAAGGCCCUGCUUUUGUGGGGUGCUCGAGUGGCGAACGGGUGAGUAACACGUGAGUAACCUGCCCUUGACUUUGGUAUAACUUCAGGAAACUGGGGCUAAUACCGGAUAGGAGCUCCUGCUGCAUGGUGGGGGUUGGAAAGUUUCGGCGGUUGGUGAUGGACUCGCGGCUUAUCAGCUUGUUGGUGGGGUAGUGGCUUACCAAGGCUUUGACGGGUAGCCGGCCUGAGAGGGUGACCGGCCACAUUGGGACUGAGAUACGGCCCAGACCCCUACGGGAGGCAGCAGUGGGGAAUAUUGCACAAUGGGCGGAAGCCUGAUGCAGCAACGCCGCGUGCGGGAUGACGGCCUUCGGGUUGUAAACCGCUUUCGCCUGUGACGAAGCGUGAGUGACGGUAAUGGGUAAAGAAGCACCGGCUAACUACGUG
Molecule: ribosomal RNA, 468 nt
Filed under: uncultured bacterium
Lineage: Bacteria
Description: partial 16S ribosomal RNA
Rfam family: Bacterial small subunit ribosomal RNA
Source: RNAcentral